Molecule: long non-coding RNA, 590 nt
Organism: Coregonus clupeaformis (lake whitefish)
Lineage: Eukaryota; Metazoa; Chordata; Actinopteri; Salmoniformes; Salmonidae
Exons: 3
Source: RefSeq, a predicted model, not a curated record
CGGGUGGGAAAGCCCCAGGUCCCUUUUUGGACCCACUCGGGUGGGAAAGCCCCAGGUCCCUUUUUGGACCCAUGAAGACCUCUAGUGUGUGGUACCUACUGUGUGUGGGAGAGCUGGUAGCAGGUAGUUGGUAUGGAUGGGAGGUGUGUGGGAGAGCUGGUAGUUGGUAUGGAUGGGAGGUGUGUGGGAGAGCUGGUAGUUGGUAUGGAUGGGAGGUGUGUGGGAGAGCUGGUAGCAGGUAGUUGGUAUGGAUGGGAGGUGUGUGGGAGAGCUGGUAGCAGGUAGUUGGUAUGGAUGGGAGGUGUGUGGGAGAGCUGGUAGUUGGUAUGGAUGGGAGGUGUGUGGGAGAGCUGGUAGCAGGUAUGGAUGGGAGGUGUGUGGGAGAGCUGGUAGCAGGUAGUUGGUAUGGAUGGGAGGUGUGUGGGAGAGCUGGUAGCAGGUAGUUGGUAUGGAUGGGAGGUGUGUGGGAGAGCUGGUAGCAGGUAGUUGGUAUGGAUGGGAGGUGUGUGGGAGAGCUGGUAGUUGGUAUGGAUGGGAGGUGUGUGGGAGAGCUGGUAGCAGGUAGUUGGUAUGGAUGGGAGGUGUGUGGG